GCAAGAGAACAAGAUAAAGGCAGAGAGAGGGGAGAAAAAAGGGUGGGACAAAGAAAAGACGGAAGGGAAGGAAAUGGAGGGGAAGGGAGAUAAAAGCAGCAGGAGAGGAUGGAUGGAUGGAAGAAAUUAGAUAAAACAGUGAGUCUGAGAAGGAGAAAUGAACAUAAAAGGAUCUCAAUAGCAGGUGUGAAGACUGAGAGCAUACACUCUACGCUGUGAGGCAGAUAAUUAUAGCUCGUGAGUGAGUAAUAUUUAGUAAAGCUGACAGUAUGACAAAGGACGGUAAAAUGUCUCACAUGUAGAAAAAAAGUUCACACUUCCCUCCGUCACAGCAGUUUUAUCAUGUCUUUAACUACAAAACAAAGAUCUGACAGCGGAAGCCUUUAAGGGAAGCAGCACCAAAUUUAUUAGAUGUCUUUUGUCGCACUGCUGACAAAUGGCUAAGAUAAGAUGACAAUUCCCCUUAGGCUUUUAUAAAUAAACUUCAACCUAUCAGACAGUCAGAAGGAGCAGGGUUUAACGGUUUGAUCUACUGUAGAUCUUUUGUCUGGUCAGAUUCUCCGUACGUUUGCGCCCUAUCAAGCCGCCCCUGCCUCAGAAGCUGAAGUUUGGUCCGUCAAAGCUGUAAAGCCUGAAUGGAUUUUCAACUUAAGCAGACAUAAAACAUCGAGAGGAGAACUGACAACAAACAGGUGAAAGGUCAAGCUUACAUGGUUGACUUGCAGAGCUGAGAUGCACUAAAUAUACUCCGUUUAUCUGUUUCUCCACUAAAUGUCAGAACACUGUGAAAAAGGCCAGACAGAUGCCAGAAUACCAUGUUUGUUCUAACACAUUAUCAAGAAUUCAAACAUGUUUGAUAAAAUCCAGUCAAACUCCUUAAAUCAGGCGAUCAGGCUCUCACUGGCCGGCACCAUUUUUUGGGUUUUCUUUCACAUUUCGACCUGUUGAAUCGGAUUUUGUUAAUCUAACAAAACACAUACAAACACAUUUAUGCAAACUUUAUUUAAAAAAUGUGCAGUAACCUUUACCAUACAAAUUGUACUACAGAUUCUUUGAUAAAGGUAGUAGCUUUGGAACCUGCAGAAAUGAAGGAAUUACAAGAUGAUGAUCAUCCGUUUGCAUUGAAGCAAAGGAACUUAACUUUAUCUGACCUUUAAUAAACUUCAAACAAAGAGGAAAUCAGCAAACAUCAUGUGAACUGAUGCAUUACUGGAUAAAAAAAAAAAAACACUGCCAGAUUUCAUUUUUGACCAAAAGAAACCGUUAAUUACAGUAAGUUGGUUGAAAGAUGACUACUACAUGAUUUCCUCGCUUACAAGAAAGACAAAUGUGGCUGAUUGGAAAUAUUUCUGGUUAAAAAAAACACAGACAGGAAUGGCAUCAAGCUAAAGGGGUGCCACCUCUUACCAAUCACCUGGCACACAACCAGCUACUUACGAUCUCUACUGAAUUAGAUAUUCUGACUAGUUAAAUGGCUAAUAUAAGCCUGGCAUAAUGGCAUAAUAUUCUAAUAAAUAUAGGCUACAGAUAACUAUAACUAGAGCUGCACUAAUUUCCAGUUUUGCUUGUGAUUUGGUUGAAUGGCUUUUUUUUCUUCUAUGGACAUUAGCUCAUGAAAGAGAAAGGAGUCUGCUGUAAGUACGUCCACUUCGAGGGAAGUGAAAGAGGGAUGUUUAGUAGUGAUAGUGAAAAACUGGUUGAUUCAAAUUUCUUGACGAUUGGUGCAUCACUAACUAUAACUGUACUAAUCAACAUGUUAAAUUUUCUUAGUAGAAUUGGGAAGAUUUGUUUGUUUUCUGUUUAAAAUAAAAGAAAUGUCAUUCACUGUUGUGGGAUGUUUUGUGUUAAAACUGUAAAAAAAAAGAAAAAAAAAGGGGGUAUUAUUUAUUCAAGCUUAUCAUAUCAUGACAAUGACACAGAUACAUACACAUGAAUCCCAAUACUUUAUAUUAUCUGUGAUUAAUCUAAAUUAAUGAUCUCAGAUCUCAGUUCCUCUGCAUGUCCUUUGUCUUGAAAUGUCACCUUUCUGAUAACAUUAAAGUGUGCUGAAGUUUCAGUGUUCAUAAACAUCCUUCCGCAUUAAACUCAGUAAACAUGCACGCUGUAUUUUUCUGUCAAACUCUCCUCAUAUCAGAUUAAUGCGAGUCUCUUCUAGGGUACAGCCCCAGAUGUCUUGUCCAAAAAAGGUCUGGAAAGAAGCCGCAGCAGAAACGUAUCUCUGACAGUUACCAGCAUGUCACCUCAACUUCAUCAGCAGCCGAGUGUUGCAAAACAUGAAGCAUCCAGAACACCUGAUAACCGCGCUUAUCGCAGUAGCUCUCCAGAUUAGAUGCCGCAGGGGCUGAAACCCCCCUCCGCUUCCUUGCAUACCUCGCCAGCAGACAGACCAUGUUUGGUGAGCGCCGGUGCACGCAAGAUAAACGUUAAGCAUCGACGACGCGGGGUUGAGCAACGGAGCCGAGCUCGCAGCAGUGCUUUACUGGUGCGAAUCAGUGAUCCAUUGAGGCGCAGAGUGUGCAAGAGUGGGGAGGGAGGGCGUGAUGUUGUUCAGCAUGUGAGAAUCACACCAGCCAGGCUGUUGAACUUUGCCUCUUGUAAGGUUACAGUUUAUAUCUGGGCAGUUAAGAUUCAAGGAAAAAGCUAAUUUAAGAAGUGAUGCAGAAAAAACCCAACUCUCCUUCCUCUUCGCUUUACUGUACAAACAUCUACACCUCCUUGCAAACCUGUGCACAAGUGGACAAAAACAACCACCUAAAACUUUUCCCUCCACCUUCAGCUCAUGCAACACAAAUCAUUGUAGCAAAGACAAAGGGGUGCUGUCUAACCUUCUGUUAAUUUGUUUAAGUAAAUGUAAUUCUCCGCCAAUCUGGAUGAGAUCCAAACAAUUCUACAACAUUAGAUUCCUCUGGCUAUUACUCUCCCUGGCUCAGUGUCUGGCUUUCACACAGACAGCUCUCAUCUGGUGGCUCAGCACAGAAUUUUAAACAUCUGUCGAGCAAAUCAAGAUGCUUAUCAGUCAAACUGGACAAGCAAACAACUAUUUUAAUCAGAAACUCCGCUAAAGAUUGUAGUUAUAUUUCACCGAUAUUGAGUCAGGUGUUUUUGGGGGUUUUUUUUAUAUCUGAAACAAUUUACCAGAGGUCAAGGUCAUAAUAAUCGGAUAGUAUGUGGUCAAGAUUUUAAUAAAAAUUGCAAAAGGCAGCAGAAAGUCCCUUACCUAGAACAGCUGCAAAUCCUAACCAGAUGUUUUAGCUCUAAGUCAUAGUAUGCAACAGUAUGGUAAAAUGAGCACAGGAAGAGCUAAUUAACAUGAAUCAGAUCCCAAAAUGAGAGGUAAUAAACCUUUUUUUGUCCUUCAUUGAAAAACAAAGCAGCAGAAUCUAUUCUAAUUUACUAGAAUAUUUGAUUUUAGUGGGGGGUUGAAACUGACAAAGAAAUCUGAUUAAAAAAAUAAAUGUCCGUCAGCAUCAAAAGCAGCAUCUGUAUUUGCGAUUAAAAACCUACAUUGUAGAUGUCUAAUUAAAUGUUCCAUUUCUAAAAAAAGUAUAGUAUGUUCAAACCAACACGAAUGACAAUGCAAUCUGAUGCUGCCUCAGAUAAAAAAUGUUUUUGCUAUAUUUGAAUUUGACUAUAUUUAGGAUAGAAUUCAAAAUGAAUUGCAUUAAUUACAAGCUUGGGUUGUAGAUAAUUAGACAUGUAUUGACCUGUUUGUUUUGUAGUGAUGUGACAUGACACCUAUUGUCAACUGGUGCUAUAAAAAUAAACUAUACUGAAUCAAAUAUACGUUGCGGUUAAACAAUGGCUGUAAUUUCAACUUGCAAGGACAGAACCGUGUUCCAGCGGAUGGCCUUUCAAACAAUCCACCUCCUGAGACCAGUGGAAGUUUGAACUGAACUUCUCAGCUUCAGAGAACUUUGUUUCGUAUCCUUUACCUCAUCCAAGCAGUGCUGUGUAA
This is a long non-coding RNA of Girardinichthys multiradiatus, 3955 nucleotides long. RefSeq lists it as uncharacterized. The transcript has 4 exons. The record is from RefSeq and is a predicted model, not a curated record. Lineage: Eukaryota; Metazoa; Chordata; Actinopteri; Cyprinodontiformes; Goodeidae.